Molecule: transfer RNA, 66 nt
Filed under: Agrilus biguttatus
Lineage: Eukaryota; Metazoa; Arthropoda; Insecta; Coleoptera; Buprestidae
Description: tRNA-Thr
Source: RNAcentral
GCUUUAAUAAUUUAAAAUAAAAUAUUGACCUUGUAAGUCAAACAUAGACUUUACAUCUUUAAAGCU